GGAGACCCGCGACCAUGGAGAUAUAAACAGCUUUUUAUAAGGCCCUUUUAACAGUGUCCCUGUGAUGGACUUACAACCUGUCCAAGGUGCACCCUGCCUCUCACACAGUGACUGCUAAACAUGAGCACCAGCAACCUGGAAAGGAAGAAGUGGGUAAAGAUAAUUAAUGGAUGGAAAAACAGCGAAACUGCUUUUUCUGUAAAUAAAAACACUAUUUGCUGAUUGUGUAAUGUAAACACUUUUUCUUUACUUUAAAAAAUGUAUAAAUAUAAUGAUCAAUGCACUUUUGUACACUUAUCAACUAAACAUUUUGGCACAAUGCAAAAUACAUGAGUUUAUAACCAGGUACAUAAAAACUACGUUUUGCAGAAUUUUAUUAUGUAUCAGCAGAAGAUCAGUCACCACUGCACUGUGGCUCAAAAUGACCUGUGCAAUCAUACAUAAAGUACAUUUACCUCUUUAUAAUGACUUACACGUACUUUAAACUAAAACUUUUGUACAAAGUUAACAACAUUGAUUCAAACAAAUACUAAUAAGAAUCUAGACAUUAAAAGUUAUUCUGUUACACUUGGACUUCAUGUUGUUCUGAUUGGUCUGAUCAGACAUGUUCAUCAGUCAUUUCAGCAUGUUAACAAGCAUUAAAUAUCUUGUAUCACAGAUAWUAAAACAAAGCGUGUACAUCUUU
This is a long non-coding RNA of Austrofundulus limnaeus, 685 nucleotides long. RefSeq lists it as uncharacterized. The transcript is spliced from 2 exons. NCBI's taxonomy places the organism in Eukaryota, Metazoa, Chordata, Actinopteri, Cyprinodontiformes, Rivulidae. The record is from RefSeq and is a predicted model, not a curated record.